AUUCUGGUUGAUCCUGCCAGAGGUCACUGCUAUCGGGGUUCGACUAAGCCAUGCAAGUCGAGAGGGGUAAAGCCCUCGGCGAACUGCUAAGCCCUCGGCGAACUGCUCAGUAACACGUGGAUAACCUGACCUAGGGUGGAGGAUAACCCCGGGAAACUGGGGAUAAUACUCCAUAGGCUACGGAAGCUGGAAUGCUCUGUAACCCAAAGCUCCGGCGCCCUAGGAUGGGUCUGCGGCCGAUUAGGUUGUUGUUGGGGUAACGGCCCAACAAGCCGAUCAUCGGUACGGGUUGUGGGAGCAAGAGCCCGGAGAUGGAUUCUGAGACAUGAAUCCAGGCCCUACGGGGCGCAGCAGGCGCGAAAACUUUACAAUGCGGGAAACCGUGAUAAGGGGACCCCGAGUGCCUGUACACGCAGGCUGUUCAGGUGUUUAAAACGCAUCUGGAGAAAGGGCCGGGCAAGACCGGUGCCAGCCGCCGCGGUAAUACCGGCGGCUCGAGUGGUGGCCACUAUUACUGGGCUUAAAGCGUCCGUAGCCGGGUUGUUAAGUCUCCUGGGAAAUCCAACGGCUCAACCGUUGGGCGUUCAGGGGAUACUGGCAAUCUAGGGAUCGGGGGAGGUGAGAGGUACUCUAGGGGUAGGAGUGAAAUCCUGUAAUCCUUGGGGGACCACCUGUGGCGAAGGCGUCUCACCAGAACGACUCCGACGGUGAGGGACGAAAGCUGGGGGAGCAAACCGGAUUAGAUACCCGGGUAGUCCCAGCUGUAAACGAUGCGCGUUAGGUGUAUCGGUGACUACGAGUUACCGACGUGCCGAAGAGAAAUCGUGAAACGUGCCGCCUGGGAAGUACGGUCGCAAGGCUGAAACUUAAAGGAAUUGGCGGGGGAGCACCACAAUGGGUGGAGCCUGCGGUUUAAUUGGACUCAACGCCGGGAAGCUCACCGGGUAAGACAGCGGAAUGAUCGCCGGGCUGAAGACUCUGCGUGACCAGCUGAGAGGAGGUGCAUGGCCGUCGUCAGUUCGUACUGUGAAGCAUCCUGUUAAGUCAGGCAACGAGCGAGACCCACGCCAACAGUUGCCAGCAUGUCCUCCGGGAUGAUGGGGACA
This 1106-nucleotide ribosomal RNA is filed under the name Methanomicrobiales archaeon. RNAcentral describes it as "bacterial SSU rRNA". It matches the Rfam family "Archaeal small subunit ribosomal RNA", at positions 1 to 1095 of the family's 1478-position model. Lineage: Archaea; Methanobacteriati; Methanobacteriota; Methanomicrobia; Methanomicrobiales. The record is from RNAcentral.